RNAcentral lists this ribosomal RNA (147 nucleotides) under uncultured Flavobacteriaceae bacterium. Its description in RNAcentral is "partial 16S ribosomal RNA". It matches the Rfam family "Bacterial small subunit ribosomal RNA", at positions 388 to 529 of the family's 1533-position model. Lineage: Bacteria; Pseudomonadati; Bacteroidota; Flavobacteriia; Flavobacteriales; Flavobacteriaceae. The record is from RNAcentral.
GCAGCCAUGCCGCGUGGCAGGAAGACUGCCCUAUGGGUUGUAAACUGCUUUUAUACGGAAAAAAACCCCCCUACGUGUAGGGGCUUGACGGGACCGUACGAAUAAAGAACGGCUAACUCCGUGCCAGGAGCCGCGGUAAUCAAAUAA